RNAcentral lists this transfer RNA (75 nucleotides) under Pasteurella multocida. RNAcentral's name for it is "tRNA-Tyr". It matches the Rfam family "tRNA". From Rfam's summary of the family: Transfer RNA (tRNA) molecules are approximately 80 nucleotides in length. Lineage: Bacteria; Pseudomonadati; Pseudomonadota; Gammaproteobacteria; Pasteurellales; Pasteurellaceae. The record is from RNAcentral.
GGGUCUGUAGCUCAGGUGGUUAGAGCGCACCCGAUAAGGGUGAGGUCGGUGGUUCAAGUCCACUCAGACCCACCA